Molecule: ribosomal RNA, 638 nt
Filed under: Bacillus sp. (in: firmicutes)
Lineage: Bacteria; Bacillati; Bacillota; Bacilli; Caryophanales; Bacillaceae
Description: bacterial SSU rRNA
Rfam family: Bacterial small subunit ribosomal RNA
Source: RNAcentral
CCCGCGGCGCAUUAGCUAGUUGGUGAGGUAACGGCUCACCAAGGCGACGAUGCGUAGCCGACCUGAGAGGGUGAUCGGCCACACUGGGACUGAGACACGGCCCAGACUCCUACGGGAGGCAGCAGUAGGGAAUCUUCCGCAAUGGACGAAAGUCUGACGGAGCAACGCCGCGUGAGUGAAGAAGGUUUUCGGAUCGUAAAACUCUGUUGUUAGGGAAGAACAAGUACGAGAGUAACUGCUCGUACCUUGACGGUACCUAACCAGAAAGCCACGGCUAACUACGUGCCAGCAGCCGCGGUAAUACGUAGGUGGCAAGCGUUGUCCGGAAUUAUUGGGCGUAAAGCGCGCGCAGGCGGUCUUUUAAGUCUGAUGUGAAAGCCCCCGGCUCAACCGGGGAGGGUCAUUGGAAACUGGAGGACUUGAGUGCAGAAGAGGAGAGCGGAAUUCCACGUGUAGCGGUGAAAUGCGUAGAGAUGUGGAGGAACACCAGUGGCGAAGGCGGCUCUCUGGUCUGUAACUGACGCUGAGGCGCGAAAGCGUGGGGAGCGAACAGGAUUAGAUACCCUGGUAGUCCACGCCGUAAACGAUGAGUGCUAAGUGUUAGAGGGUUUCCGCCCUUUAGUGCUGCAGCUAACGCA